This is an RNA transcript of Cataglyphis hispanica, 2866 nucleotides long. It is a transcript of the gene named ras-related protein Rab-5B, with no coding region annotated. The transcript is spliced from 6 exons. The record is from RefSeq and is a predicted model, not a curated record. Lineage: Eukaryota; Metazoa; Arthropoda; Insecta; Hymenoptera; Formicidae.
AUACAUUCGUGAAUCGCGGAGAAGACAAAACGGCGGAGUCGCGAGAGAGAGAGAAAGAGAGCCGUUUCGAGAUUUCGCGUUUCCGGUUCUGCGAAAUCGACCAAAUAAUCGAGCCAGAUCGCUGCGUCGCACGACCUACGGAAACGGAGCGGGACGAAUCGGCAAAAAGUGACGCAGCACCGUAUGCAUCGCGCGUGUCGGUAAUCUAUCCCUUUUUCUCUCUCUCUCUCUCUCUUUUUGUCCCCCCCUCUCUGCUUCUCUCCCUCUUCCAACUCAACGGUGUGUCAAAGUUCCGAUUACUCGCUGUCGAUGUAUGUUCAUCGUCGUCAUCGGUGCCCAUCGAUGUAAGUUACGGAGGAACACGGGGAACGAUCGCAGGAUUAAAUUGUGAAGGUGUAACGCGAUAACACCUCCCCGGGGACGUACGCCUCUUCACCGUCAGGUUGUGCGCGACGAUAUCGAAGUGCGAGCGAGAAGCGACGACGCGAGAAAGAGAAAGGAGAGAGAGAGAGAGAGAGAGAGUGAGAGCGCGAGAGGACGAAAGUGCGAAUACAAUUCACGGGAUCGGCUCGCGCGUGAGAGAGAAAGAGAGAGGAGUUGCCUUUGGAGUUUUGCGUGCGUGGUUUUGUGUAUCUUGUCCAUCCUAACUCUUCUCAUCGCCGGGAGCUGUCAUAAAUGUACACAUUCUACAUAGAUUACGCGAUCUAUGCUCGGUCGACGGGCCGAUCUAUCGGUGGCAAGUGCUGACUCGAGCCUGACUCGGCUCGCGCCAGUGAAUCGACGUUAAUCAUCGUCGCCGUCGUCGUCGUCGUCGACAUCAUCGUCGUCGUCGUCGUCGUCGUCGCCGUCAUCGUCUCCUGAAGCAGCUAGCUAGCCAGCGCGGCGCAUCAAUCUAACGGCGAAUCUCCUCAACGCAAACAGGUGAUCAUGGCGAAUCGAGGUACAGCUCAAAGACCAAAUGGAUCGACACAAGGGAAAAUCUGUCAGUUUAAGCUAGUUUUACUUGGUGAAUCUGCAGUUGGAAAAUCAAGCCUUGUUUUAAGGUUUGUCAAAGGACAGUUCCACGAGUACCAGGAGAGUACAAUUGGUGCUGCAUUUCUAACACAAACCGUAUGUUUGGACGACACAACCGUAAAAUUUGAAAUUUGGGAUACUGCGGGGCAAGAACGUUAUCAUAGUCUUGCACCAAUGUACUAUCGUGGUGCACAAGCAGCCAUUGUUGUGUACGAUAUAACAAAUCAGGAUACAUUCUCACGUGCCCAAACAUGGGUAAAAGAACUGCAGCGCCAGGCCAGUCCAAGUAUAGUGAUAGCAUUAGCUGGAAAUAAGGCAGAUUUGGCAAAUAAAAGAGUUGUCGAAUAUGAUGAAGCUCAAACAUAUGCAGAUGAAAAUGGCCUUCUUUUCAUGGAAACAUCUGCUAAAACGGCGAUGAAUGUCAACGACAUUUUCCUUGCAAUUGCUAAAAAGCUUCCUAAGAACGAACAAUCAGGAAGCGCAAGUACGAGUGGUCAAGGUCGUCGACUAGUCGAGUCGGAUGGGCAAAAGGCAGCAACCGGCAAUUGCUGCAAGUGAUUAUCUAAAUCCGUAUGUGUCUCACAAUAUAUAUAUUCGUAUCUAUAUAUAUUUUUACAUUAUUUGAAUAUAUAUACUGUCUUCAAAAUUAAUUGGGAAAAAACUACAAGAGAUAUUAUUCCAUUAAUGAAAAGUUGAAAAAUAUUUGAUAUGCCUAAUGAAUAUGUUACAAAUCAAAUGCAUAUUCGGUGUAUAUCAAUUUGUUUACAUAUUUUUAUAAUAAUAGAAUAUAUUAUGAAAAGAAAGCGCGAUCAAAAAAGGAAAAAAAAAAGGGAAACGGGGAAAUAUAUCAAUUUCAUAUUGUGUAGAAUAGACAUUUGCACCUUAAAAUGCUUUUAGCAGAUUUUUGUAUUAGGAUUAUAUAAUAUGGGAGAUAUCUCUGAGUAGUGACACACAUGCAGUUUCAUAGAAUAUAUUAUAUUUCCUGUUAUAUGUUUAAUAUUUUUUAUAGUGUAUAUUCUCUCGCGACUUUUGCCUUCUUUAUAUUUAUUGGAACAAUAAAUAAACACGGCGGAUUAGAAUAAUUAGAUAAGAAAGAAAAGCGCGGAUUGUGAAAAUAAGCUCCAUCAUAUGACCGUCAAAUUUAUAAUCUGCAAGAUAUGUACUAUAAUCUACAAAGAUAAAUGCACCACGAGUGUGCUACGAUGAAUUUGAAACGAGGAUACACAACAUGGGAAAAAUACAGAGAGGGAAGUGAACUGUGCAGGACAUUUGCAAUUUUGCUUGAGUGAUUGACUAAGAGCCUGUGUCUCAAUGUAAUCGACGAUAUAUCAUCUAUUUUGAGUAUCAGAUCUAUUAAGAGGCAGUAAAGAAAGCUCCCAUUUGUAAUUCUAGUAGUGGGCGGUGUUCGUUAUAAAUAUAUAAAUAUAUAUAUAAAUACAUUAUAUAUAUAUAUAUAUAUAUAUAUAUAUAUAUAUAUAUAUGUAUAAAUCAUACAGAAAAAUAUGAUUUAUAUAUGUAAUAAGUAAUGCUAAUAAUAAUAAAUAAUAUUAAUAAUAAUAAUUAAUAAAAAAUAUAUAAUAUACCAUUAAUACACCAUAAAUAUUGAUAAUAACAGUAUAUUUAAAAUAUGCAACGUCUAAUCAAUUUUUGGCACGCGAAGAUCUUGUAAGAUAGGAGAAGCUAUUUCUGCUGCUAUUACUAUGUAUUUUCUUUCUUAGUUUGUAACACAUAACAAUUUCUUGCUCUAAAAAAUAUAUUGUAUAUUAAUUUUAUUGACAACUCAUAAUGAAUUAUAAAUGAAUUACACGGGAAAAAAAAAUAAACUUGUGAAUAUUACAAUGGCUCUUUAUAA